RNAcentral lists this ribosomal RNA (1437 nucleotides) under uncultured organism. Its description in RNAcentral is "16S ribosomal RNA". It matches the Rfam family "Bacterial small subunit ribosomal RNA". The record is from RNAcentral.
GCUUAACACAUGCAAGUCGAGGGGCGGCAUGGUCUUAGCUUGCUAAGGCCGAUGGCGACCGGCGCACGGGUGAGUAACACGUAUCCAACCUGCCGUCUACUCUUGGACAGCCUUCUGAAAGGAAGAUUAAUACAAGAUGGCAUCAUGAGUCCGCAUGUUCACAUGAUUAAAGGUAUUCCGGUAGACGAUGGGGAUGCGUUCCAUUAGAUAGUAGGCGGGGUAACGGCCCACCUAGUCUUCGAUGGAUAGGGGUUCUGAGAGGAAGGUCCCCCACAUUGGAACUGAGACACGGUCCAAACUCCUACGGGAGGCAGCAGUGAGGAAUAUUGGUCAAUGGGCGAGAGCCUGAACCAGCCAAGUAGCGUGAAGGAUGACUGCCCUAUGGGUUGUAAACUUCUUUUAUAAAGGAAUAAAGUCGGGUAUGGAUACCCGUUUGCAUGUACUUUAUGAAUAAGGAUCGGCUAACUCCGUGCCAGCAGCCGCGGUAAUACGGAGGAUCCGAGCGUUAUCCGGAUUUAUUGGGUUUAAAGGGAGCGUAGAUGGAUGUUUAAGUCAGUUGUGAAAGUUUGCGGCUCAACCGUAAAAUUGCAGUUGAUACUGGAUAUCUUGAGUGCAGUUGAGGCAGGCGGAAUUCGUGGUGUAGCGGUGAAAUGCUUAGAUAUCACGAAGAACUCCGAUUGCGAAGGCAGCCUGCUAAGCUGCAACUGACAUUGAGGCUCGAAAGUGUGGGUAUCAAACAGGAUUAGAUACCCUGGUAGUCCACACGGUAAACGAUGAAUACUCGCUGUUUGCGAUAUACUGCAAGCGGCCAAGCGAAAGCGUUAAGUAUUCCACCUGGGGAGUACGCCGGCAACGGUGAAACUCAAAGGAAUUGACGGGGGCCCGCACAAGCGGAGGAACAUGUGGUUUAAUUCGAUGAUACGCGAGGAACCUUACCCGGGCUUAAAUUGCAGAUGAAUUACGGUGAAAGCCGUAAGCCGCAAGGCAUCUGUGAAGGUGCUGCAUGGUUGUCGUCAGCUCGUGCCGUGAGGUGUCGGCUUAAGUGCCAUAACGAGCGCAACCCUUGUUGUCAGUUACUAACAGGUUCCGCUGAGGACUCUGACAAGACUGCCAUCGUAAGAUGUGAGGAAGGUGGGGAUGACGUCAAAUCAGCACGGCCCUUACGUCCGGGGCUACACACGUGUUACAAUGGGGGGUACAGAGGGCCGCUACCACGCGAGUGGAUGCCAAUCCCCAAAACCUCUCUCAGUUCGGACUGGAGUCUGCAACCCGACUCCACGAAGCUGGAUUCGCUAGUAAUCGCGCAUCAGCCACGGCGCGGUGAAUACGUUCCCGGGCCUUGUACACACCGCCCGUCAAGCCAUGGGAGCCGGGGGUACCUGAAGUGCGUAACCGCGAGGAGCGCCCUAGGGUAAAACUGGUGACUGGGGCUAAGUC